Molecule: ribosomal RNA, 497 nt
Filed under: uncultured bacterium
Lineage: Bacteria
Description: partial 16S ribosomal RNA
Rfam family: Bacterial small subunit ribosomal RNA
Source: RNAcentral
GAUGAACGCUGGCGGCGUGCCUAAUACAUGCAAGUCGAGCGAACGGACGAGAAGCUUGCUUUUCUGAUGUUAGCGGCGGACGGGUGGGUAACACGUGGAUAACCUACCUAUAAGACUGGGAUAACUUCGGGAAACCGGAGCUAAUACCGGAUAAUAUUUUGAACCGCAUGGUUCAAAAGUGAAAGACGGUCUUGCUGUCACUUAUAGAUGGAUCCGCGCUGCAUUAGCUAGUUGGUAAGGUAACGGCUUACCAAGGCAACGAUGCAUAGCCGACCUGAGAGGGUGAUCGGCCACCCUGGAACUGAGACACGGUCCAGACGCCUACGGGAGGCAGCAGUAGGGAAUCUUCCGCAAUGGGCGAAAGCCUGACGGAGCAACGCCGCGUGAGUGAUGAAGGUCUUCGGAUCGUAAAACUCUGUUAUUAGGGAAGAACAUAUGUGUAAGUAACUGUGCACAUCUUGACGGUACCUAAUCAGAAAGCCACGGCUAACUACGUG